This 572-nucleotide ribosomal RNA is filed under the name uncultured bacterium. RNAcentral describes it as "partial 16S ribosomal RNA". It matches the Rfam family "Bacterial small subunit ribosomal RNA", at positions 355 to 919 of the family's 1533-position model. The record is from RNAcentral.
UGGGGAAUUUUGGACAAUGGGCGAAGCCUGAUCCAGCAAUGCCGCGUGUGUGAAGAAGGCCUUCGGGUUGUAAAGCACUUUUGUCCGGAAAGAAAUCCUUGGCUCUAAUACAGUCGGGGGAUGACGGUACCGGAAGAAUAAGCACCGGCUAACUACGUGCCAGCAGCCGCGGUAAUACGUAGGGUGCAAGCGUUAAUCGGAAUUACUGGGCGUAAAGCGUGCGCAGGCGGUUUGCUAAGACCGAUGUGAAAUCCCCGGGCUCAACCUGGGAACUGCAUUGGUGACUGGCAGGCUAGAGUAUGGCAGAGGGGGGUAGAAUUCCACGUGUAGCAGUGAAAUGCGUAGAGAUGUGGAGGAAUACCGAUGGCGAAGGCAGCCCCCUGGGCCAAAUACUGACGCUCAUGCACGAAAGCGUGGGGAGCAAACAGGAUUAGAUACCCUGGUAGUCCACGCCCUAAACGAUGUCAACUAGUUGUUGGGGACUUCAUUUCCUUAGUAACGCAGCUAACGCGUGAAGUUGACCGCCUGGGGAGUACGGUCGCAAGAUUAAAACUUAAAUGAAUUGACGGGGU